Non-coding RNA from Caenorhabditis elegans, 174 nucleotides. Lineage: Eukaryota; Metazoa; Nematoda; Chromadorea; Rhabditida; Rhabditidae. The record is from Ensembl.
AAAUAUCUAAAGUAAGAGCACAAAAAAUUGUGUGAAGAAGGGGGAAACGGAGUCUCAUUUGCAUACAAAUCUAUUUUCACACUUGCUUCGCACUAUCUCGGGUUGGGAAAGCAAACGGAUUAGGAUUUAGUAAGGAAUGGAUGAAUAGAAUGAGUAGUAGUAAUAGUGAUUUCA